Rhinolophus ferrumequinum (greater horseshoe bat) is the source of this 107-nucleotide small nuclear RNA. NCBI's taxonomy places the organism in Eukaryota, Metazoa, Chordata, Mammalia, Chiroptera, Rhinolophidae. The record is from Ensembl.
GUGCUUGCUUCGGUAGCACAUACACUAAAGUUGGAACGAUACAGAGAAGAUUAGCAUGGCCCCUGUGCAAGGAUGACACACAAAUUAGUGAAGUGUUCCAUUUUUCA